GACGAACGCUGGCGGCGUGCUUAACACAUGCAAGUCGAACGGAAAGGCCCUGCUUUUGUGGGGUGCUCGAGUGGCGAACGGGUGAGUAACACGUGAGUAACCUGCCCUUGACUUUGGGAUAACUUCAGGAAACUGGGGCUAAUACCGGAUAGGAGCUCCUGCUGCAUGGUGGGGGUUGGAAAGUUUCGGCGGUUGGGGAUGGACUCGCGGCUUAUCAGCUUGUUGGUGGGGUAGUGGCUUACCAAGGCUUUGACGGGUAGCCGGCCUGAGAGGGUGACCGGCCACAUUGGGACUGAGAUACGGCCCAGACUCCUACGGGAGGCAGCAGUGGGGAAUAUUGCACAAUGGGCGGAAGCCUGAUGCAGCAACGCCGCGUGCGGGAUGACAGCCUUCGGGUUGUAAACCGCUUUCGCCUGUGACGAAGCGUGAGUGGCGGUAAUGGGUAAAGAAGCACCGGCUAACUACGU
RNAcentral lists this ribosomal RNA (467 nucleotides) under uncultured bacterium. RNAcentral describes it as "partial 16S ribosomal RNA". It matches the Rfam family "Bacterial small subunit ribosomal RNA", at positions 28 to 506 of the family's 1533-position model. The record is from RNAcentral.